AGGAGAAGAGACUGUCAGCUUAGCCAAGGAUGAUUGCCUGGAAAACCAAACAUGGAAGGUUUUUUCCAAGACAAAAAAAAAAAUACCCUGUCAUUACAAAGGUUUCAGGCAAGUCAUCCUUGGCUACCAAACAAGACUCUUGUCU
Non-coding RNA from Corchorus olitorius, 145 nucleotides. NCBI's taxonomy places the organism in Eukaryota, Viridiplantae, Streptophyta, Magnoliopsida, Malvales, Malvaceae. The record is from Rfam.